UUACAUGCUGUCCCAACCUGCUUAUUGUUAUUAGGCAAACAGCAGCAAAUUCAUUUCUGCAUAUGUCCCUGACAUAUGGGGUGUCAAAACCAUGAGAACCAUUUCUAUUUCAAUACAAACCCUCUUUUGCUUCCCUUUCUAUAACUCAUGCUGUAUCUCAGCAGGGCAUGGUCAUGAAACCACCAACCAAUCAAAUUUUGGUCUCAGUCAGCACCCAAGCAGCAGUAAUGCCAGCUAGCUAUGCCACAACAAAAGGUAUGUGUAGUCCCAGUGCAUGCUGAAUUUUAUUUAUGCCUGCAUUGCAACCACCUUUGGGGAACACUGCUACAAGGCACAGAGCGAGUGAGGAAGAAAUUGAAGCUGUUUUAAUGAAAAGCAGGUAUGCUUCUGUGGAGUUUCCAGUUUUCCUCACUUUCACUGAGAGCAGAAAAUGCAAAAAGAUAGUUGUGGGGGAAAAUCCUCAAUCAAACAUUUCCCAAGUUCCAGCUGUUGUAGGAACGACAACCAACACCCUCUGUCCCACUGGAAGGUUGCUUUGCAUGCCAUCCCAUCACACGUUUGUGGCAGAAGACCAUGCAGGACGGGUGCCACCUGACUGAAGUGCAACUCUCAUGAUGGACACUUUUGCUUCGCUAGCACAUAACAACAGAAGAGGAAGAGUUGCCAAGACCUCAUCUGACCCAACGUGUCCUGAAAGAGACAUUACAUCUGGUAUCAUUUUGGGCAACGUCUUCUAAGCUGUUCCCUGCUGUCAACAGAGGUCACCCACUCCCGCAAGCUCCUUCUGAGUGGACCCUUCUGUACUACGAGGAAAUUUUCCUGCUGACUAAUCUGAAUUGCUUCUGCUGCUUCCUCAAGACCCUGAAGACACAGAGAAUGUCUUAUUGCCCUUUACCAAGCUCAAGGCUUAUGUCUUCCCUAUACCUCUCUCUAAAUUAAACAGCACCAGUUGUUGUA
Molecule: long non-coding RNA, 957 nt
Organism: Pseudopipra pipra
Lineage: Eukaryota; Metazoa; Chordata; Aves; Passeriformes; Pipridae
Exons: 4
Source: RefSeq, a predicted model, not a curated record